AGCGGCGGACGGGUGAGUAAUGCCUAGGAAUCUGCCUGGUAGUGGGGGAUAACGUUCGGAAACGGACGCUAAUACCGCAUACGUCCUACGGGAGAAAGCAGGGGACCUUCGGGCCUUGCGCUAUCAGAUGAGCCUAGGUCGGAUUAGCUAGUUGGUGAGGUAAUGGCUCACCAAGGCGACGAUCCGUAACUGGUCUGAGAGGAUGAUCAGUCACACUGGAACUGAGACACGGUCCAGACUCCUACGGGAGGCAGCAGUGGGGAAUAUUGGACAAUGGGCGAAAGCUUGAUCCAGCCAUGCCGCGUGUGUGAAGAAGGUCUUCGGAUUGUAAAGCACUUUAAGUUGGGAGGAAGGGCAGUAAAUUAAUACUUUGCUGUUUUGACGUUACCGGCAGAAUAAGCACCGGCUAACUCUGUGCCAGCAGCCGCGGUAAUACAGAGGGUGCAAGCGU
RNAcentral lists this ribosomal RNA (451 nucleotides) under uncultured bacterium. RNAcentral describes it as "bacterial SSU rRNA". It matches the Rfam family "Bacterial small subunit ribosomal RNA", at positions 94 to 541 of the family's 1533-position model. The record is from RNAcentral.